This 250-nucleotide ribosomal RNA is filed under the name uncultured bacterium. Its description in RNAcentral is "partial 16S ribosomal RNA". It matches the Rfam family "Bacterial small subunit ribosomal RNA", at positions 524 to 773 of the family's 1533-position model. The record is from RNAcentral.
AACGUAGGAGGCAAGCGUUAUCCGGAUUUACUGGGCGUAAAGCGCGUGUAGGCGGCUCGGAAAGUUGGAUGUGAAAGCUCCUGGCUCAACUGGGAGAGGUCGUUCAAAACUUCCGGGCUCGAGGAUGGUAGAGGGAGGUGGAAUUCCGGGUGUAGUGGUGAAAUGCGUAGAUAUCCGGAGGAACACCAGUGGCGAAAGCGGCCUCCUGGACCAUUUCUGACGCUCAGACGCGAAAGCUAGGGUAGCAAAC